Molecule: transfer RNA, 85 nt
Filed under: Limnobacter litoralis
Lineage: Bacteria; Pseudomonadati; Pseudomonadota; Betaproteobacteria; Burkholderiales; Burkholderiaceae
Also listed under: 1 other name
Description: tRNA-Leu
Rfam family: tRNA
About the family: Transfer RNA (tRNA) molecules are approximately 80 nucleotides in length. Their secondary structure includes four short double-helical elements and three loops (D, anti-codon, and T loops).
Source: RNAcentral
GCCCAGGUGGCGAAAUUGGUAGACGCACCAGAUUUAGGUUCUGGCGCCGUAAGGUGUGUGGGUUCGAGUCCCUCCCUGGGCACCA